GGCCAAUUCCCAUUCAUCUUGUGACAUGCUGAGAUGUUGUUUAAGCAUUUCUUAAAAGCAGAGGAGACAUUUCAGGACAAGCACAAACAAAACCUCAAUUUUAAACACAGCAACAAAAGAAGAUCUCUCCCAAGGCUACAAUCAAGUUUCCAACCAGUGCUGGGGUCUCAUCUGAAGUUGCAGAUGGGGAAGGAUCCAUUUCCAAGGAGAAAGUGGAGGAAGGUAACAGGGAACUGAUGGACCUGAGAAAUUAUGAGAUGACAUUACACAUGAUAGAAGCAUGGAGGGUCAAUCUGAGAGCAGGAACCAAACCUGGAAGGAGGUUGCCCACUCCAGUGAUGGAUGGAAACAGAGGGCUUGAGCCACGCAUUCCGGGAAGCAAACUCACUCAGAAGGACAAUGCAGAUAGUGGAGUGCAGUUUAUUACACCGGCGGGCCCAAGGCAGAGUCUCCUCUUAACCAAGGACCCGGACCAGCAUUUGUGAAAAUCUUUUAUACCCCAUGUGUACAUGUCCAAACCCACCACCCCAAUUCCCUUGAGACUUACAUAAACAAAGGUAGGGUAAA
Long non-coding RNA from Dama dama (fallow deer), 567 nucleotides. RefSeq lists it as uncharacterized. The record is from RefSeq and is a predicted model, not a curated record. The transcript has 4 exons. NCBI's taxonomy places the organism in Eukaryota, Metazoa, Chordata, Mammalia, Artiodactyla, Cervidae.